GGGACACGCGUCAUAACGCGAUGUCUCAGUCUCUCUCUUUCUCGACUGAUUCGGUUUGAUUCCGAAACUACCACCACCGGAAUCGCCGCCGUCUAUCAAGUAUCGAAAUACCUCUUUUUGGUUCUGUUAAUCGGUUAAAGUUUGGAUUUUGAUAUUGUUUCUUACUUUUGAAUUUGAGAUUAAAAGCAUUAGCCUUUUUUUGUUUGCUCGGCAGAUAUGUUACGGGAAUGUACUUGCCAUUAUUGAUGCUAUUCUGGAAACAUUAAGAUCCAUUAAAUUAGAGAUAAAGAUUGAAUUUUUUUGUGCUCUGUUUUGGUUUCAGAGGAAAGAUCUGCAGAGAAGAAGAAGAAAAAGAACAAGGAGACAAAAUCAGAAACAAAAGAAGAGAAGAGAGCAGAGAAGGAUGAGAAGAUCUUGCCAGAGGAGAAGAACACAACUUCUGUUGCGCUUCCUUGCAUUGAUAAGCUUCGAGACGAGUUGUCUUGUGCAAUUUGUCUUGAGAUUUGUUAUGAACCAAGUACUACAACUUGUGGACACAUGUACAUCUUACUACACAACAAACACCACAUAGUUGUCAUUGUGCGGUCAAUUUGGUACUGACUUGUUGUCUUUUGUAAGUUAAUGAGAUUUAAAGCUUCGAACUUUAUCUAACAAUGGUGUUUAACUAUGCAGAAAUGGCAAAUACUGCACGGUUAAUACAGUUCUUUGGAACACAAUUCAGCUUAUGUUCCCUAAAGAAGUGGAAGCACAGAGAGCUGCUGCUUCUGCUAACUUCCUAACCAAGGAAACGCCAAGCCCUAGAGACUCUAAUCAGAAGGUAAGAAGCAGGAACAGAGAUACGGCGUUUCAAGCUAGGUUGCAGAGAGAGGAUAUCUCGAGGUUACUUGUGUCUGAAGAGAGAAGGAGGAGAGGCGUGAGGUUGGAUCAAGAUAGUGAUGCAGCGUUCGCGUUGCGGUUACAGCGGCAGGAAUUUGCGUCUGCGUUUGGCGGUACGGUGGCUGAGACAAUUUCCUCUUCUUCUUCAUCAACGGCUCUAGCCUUUCUUUUGCUGUUACCUAAACAAAUUUGAUGUACUGAUACAGGUUGCAGAGGGAUGCAUUGCCUCUUUUCAGUAUGCUAGUAAAAUUUAAGUCUUGCAUAGAUAGAGAACCACUUCUUAAAGAGGUAUGCAAGAUUAGUCUCUGCAUGUUUUGAUAAUUAUUAUUAUCUUAUUCCUUACUCUUGUUAUCCCUCUUCUUUCAGACGCAGAUAACAAACUCAAAGUCGUGAAAACUCCAAAUGCUGUGAAUCCCCUUGUGCUUGGUUCUUUUGUAAGUUUUUCAAUCUAAGAGCUUGAAUAUAGAGUUAGCUUGUACUAUGUUUUAAGAAAAAAAUUAAGUUUAAUAAAAAAAAUUGGUGUUUAAUUAAAAAAAAAAAUUUUAAAAAAACCUUUAAAAAAAAGACUUGCAAUGGAGCACGUUAAUUUUCGAGUAUCUUAAUCCAGUAUUUUAAUUCACUUUUACAAUUAAAAAGUAUUAAUAGAAUUAGUACUUUGCCAAUAGUUUAUUGGUUUUGGAUGUAUGAUUUCCUCGUAAUUCAUUUGGUAAAACUUAUUAAAAGGCUUAUUUUGAUGGUUAUGUCAUAUGUGAUACUCGGGAUAUGGAGAAAUCAAGAGAGUGAGAGUGCAGCUUCAAUUAUUGUUUCGAACUUUGUCGUUUCUCGCAAAUGCUCAGUACAAAGCUGUGCAAAAUAUUUGGCUUUUCCAUUUUACUACGCAUUUUCACGUUCAUAUAAAAAAUUCAUCGCAUAUGCAUUUCAACUUAUCCGUUGUAUUUUAACAAUUUUAAAUCUUACAAAAAUACCUUACACAAGACUAUCUGGUGUUGUUUUGUAUUUUAAAAGCUAUACUCAUGUAAGGAAGAACUUAUUCCAAGCAUAUAUUUAAUCCUUUUAACACACAAAUAAGGAUUACAUCAUAUCAAAAUACAUCCAAGUGA
Long non-coding RNA from Brassica napus (rape), 1976 nucleotides. RefSeq lists it as uncharacterized. The transcript is spliced from 2 exons. The record is from RefSeq and is a predicted model, not a curated record. NCBI's taxonomy places the organism in Eukaryota, Viridiplantae, Streptophyta, Magnoliopsida, Brassicales, Brassicaceae.